AGAAUCAACGCUGGCGGCGUGCCUAACACAUGCAAGUCGCACGAGAAAGGGGACUUCGGUCCCUGAGUAAAGUGGCGCACGGGUGAGUAACACGUGAAUCAUCUACCUUCGAGUGGGGAAUAACUGAGAGAAAUCUUAGCUAAUACCGCAUAAUACCUACGGGUCAAAGCAGCAAUGCGCUUGAAGAGGAGUUCGCGGCAGAUUAGUUAGUUGGCGGGGUAAUGGCCCACCAAGACGAUGAUCUGUA
RNAcentral lists this ribosomal RNA (247 nucleotides) under uncultured bacterium. RNAcentral describes it as "partial small subunit ribosomal RNA". It matches the Rfam family "Bacterial small subunit ribosomal RNA", at positions 26 to 285 of the family's 1533-position model. The record is from RNAcentral.